AUGAUGGCGAUGGACCUGCCAGUCAAGACGAUAGAGGCUGCCAAAAAAAUUUGUAGAGGGUUUCUAUGGAAGGGUCGAUGCGACGUGCAUGGAGGGCACUGUUUGGUGGCCUGGGACAAAGUUUGUUCGCCUAAGGAAUAUGGUGGACUGGGAGUGCCCAACCUGCGCCGACUUAAUACUUCAUUGAGAGCGAGAUGGCCAUGGCUGGCGCAGACGGAUAUGGCCAGAGCCUGAGCAGAAUUUAAUCUCCAAGACUCAUCGGACUCACUAGCCAUUUACAGAGCAGCCACAAAGUGCAUCAUGGGGGGUGGAGCCACGGUACUGUUCUAGACGGAUUGGUGGCUUCAUGAGGGACGCAUACACGAUAUCAUGCCAAACCUAUUCAGUGCCGUCAAGAAGAGCGCAACCAAGGUCAGAACAGUGAGAGAAGCAAUAUGA
RNAcentral lists this ribosomal RNA (438 nucleotides) under Triticum aestivum (bread wheat). RNAcentral's name for it is "partial small subunit ribosomal RNA". The record is from RNAcentral. Lineage: Eukaryota; Viridiplantae; Streptophyta; Magnoliopsida; Poales; Poaceae.